Molecule: ribosomal RNA, 845 nt
Filed under: uncultured bacterium
Lineage: Bacteria
Description: bacterial SSU rRNA
Rfam family: Bacterial small subunit ribosomal RNA
Source: RNAcentral
AGAGUUUGAUCAUGGCUCAGGACGAACGCUGGCGGCGUGCUUAACACAUGCAAGUCGAGCGAUGAAGCACCUUCGGGUGUGAAUUAGCGGCGAACGGGUGAGGAACACGUGAGAAAUCUGCCUUCAACACUGGGAUAACUCCGGGAAACCGGGGCUAAUACCGGAUAUGAAAUCUGCGGGCAUCCGCGGAUUUGGAAAGUUUUUCGGUUGAAGAUGAUCUCGCGGCCUAUCAGCUUGUUGGUGAGGUAAUGGCUCGCCAAGGCGACGACGGGUAGCCGGCCUGAGAGGGCGACCGGCCACACUGGGACUGAGACACGGCCCAGACUCCUACGGGAGGCAGCAGUGGGGAAUAUUGGGCAAUGGAGGAAACUCUGACCCAGCGACGCCGCGUGCGGGAUGAAGGCCUUCGGGUUGUAAACCGCUUUCAGCAGGGAAGAAGCGAAAGUGACGGUACCUGCAGAAGAAGCACCGGCUAACUAUGUGCCAGCAGCCGCGGUAAUACAUAGGGUGCAAGCGUUGUCCGGAAUUAUUGGGCGUAAAGAGCUCGUAGGUGGUUCGUCACGUCGGAUGUGAAACUCUGGGGCUUAACCCCAGACCUGCAUUCGAUACGGGCGAGCUUGAGUAUGGUAGGGGAGUCUGGAAUUCCUGGUGUAGCGGUGGAAUGCGCAGAUAUCAGGAGGAACACCAAUGGCGAAGGCAGGACUCUGGGCCAUUACUGACACUGAGGAGCGAAAGCGUGGGGAGCGAACAGGAUUAGAUACCCUGGUAGUCCACGCCGUAAACGGUGGGCACUAGUUGUGGGGACCUUCCACGGUCUCUGCGACGCAGCUAACGCAUAAGUGCCC